GGGCAUUGUGGUAGGCAUGCAGGUGGGGGCAGGCGAUCACAUCAUAAACAGGAGGCCAGGUGCGACUUGGGUCAGGCUCGCUCUUGUAACUAACUCUGUUCAGAGCUCAGCUCCCAGGAUUGGCUUUAAUCCAGGCCAGGCUUCCUGCAGAGGAGACCUGGCUGCAUGCGCAGGUGCCUUGUGCUAGAGGCCAGCUCCACACAGCGACCUGGCCUGGAGGAGAGAGCACCUGCAUCCAGGAGUCAGGAGAGGCAGGGUGAGGGCCAGUGUGCCAGCUGAGGCGCGGGCGAUUCAGCCCUUGCCAGUGCACAGGCAUGGGGAAGAGGUGGAUCGGGUCCACUGCUGGGGGAGAGAGGCACAGGCACAGAGGCCUCUCCCAGCUGUUGUGGGAGGAGACCCUUCGAUGGGGUGCAGAGACAGAUUAGGGGAGAACAGCGUGUGCAGGGGAGCGCCCAGGAGUGGUGAAGUCGCUACAUGACCAAGGACCCGUGUUUGUCGCACUGUACCUGUCAAGGUGGCAGUGGUUUCAGGGCCUCAGGAUGAAGGAGAGAGGAUCUGUGCAUGGUUGGAGUCUGCUGGGAAUGGGCAGUCCCUGUCCACAGCCUCUGAAUCGGCAGGUGACUACUUAAAGAGCAGCCUCCCGAGCCCGGGUCAGAAUGGCUUUGGCGAUGCUGAUGCUGUCCAGGGCCUGUCAGAGCCGUGCUCAGUUCCCUCGGAAGACGCGCAGCAAGCAGGUGUCCCCCGGAGCUUUCUGGUGGCCCCCGGAGCUUUCUGGUGGUCCACAGUGAUUGGUGAAGAAUCCUGCCCUGUUGUACCCAGUCUUCCACUUGGGCUUGGAAAUACGAAUGGCUGACGGGAUGCGCCAGGCAAGUGGAGCCAGGCUGCGAGGAGGUGAAAACAGCUCCGGGACAGUGACACCGGAGUCUGACCUCCCCCUGUGGGUUCGGCUCCACGCUCACUUCACUUCUGAUCCCUGCCUCCUGUCUAUCAAGUAAACCCCUGACUUAAGUUUGGCAGAUCAGUUCUCAGACGCAUGGUAAGUGAUCACAUAAACUUUGAAAGUUUGCUGUUUGGCAUCUUGCUGCGAAAUCUCAAAUGGGAUGUUAAAACACCAGGC
Molecule: long non-coding RNA, 1117 nt
Filed under: Fukomys damarensis (Damara mole-rat)
Lineage: Eukaryota; Metazoa; Chordata; Mammalia; Rodentia; Bathyergidae
Description: lncRNA (ENSFDAG00000027440.1)
Source: RNAcentral